This 141-nucleotide small nuclear RNA is filed under the name Jaculus jaculus (lesser Egyptian jerboa). RNAcentral's name for it is "U1 spliceosomal RNA (ENSJJAG00000008593.1)". It matches the Rfam family "U1 spliceosomal RNA", at positions 1 to 141 of the family's 166-position model. Rfam says of the family: U1 is a small nuclear RNA (snRNA) component of the spliceosome (involved in pre-mRNA splicing). Its 5' end forms complementary base pairs with the 5' splice junction, thus defining the 5' donor site of an intron. The record is from Rfam by way of RNAcentral. Lineage: Eukaryota; Metazoa; Chordata; Mammalia; Rodentia; Dipodidae.
AUACUUACCUGGCAGGGAGAUGAUACCAUGAUCACAAAGGUGGUUUUCCCAGAGCGAGGCUUACCCAUUGCACUCCAGAUGUGCUGACACCUGUGAUUUCCCUGACGUAGGAAACUCGAUUGCAUAGUUUGUAGUAGUGGG